Molecule: ribosomal RNA, 505 nt
Filed under: uncultured bacterium
Lineage: Bacteria
Description: partial 16S ribosomal RNA
Rfam family: Bacterial small subunit ribosomal RNA
Source: RNAcentral
GACGAACGCUGGCGGCGUGCCUAAUACAUGCAAGUAGAACGCACAGUUUAUACCGUAGCUUGCUACACCAUAGACUGUGAGUUGCGAACGGGUGAGUAACGCGUAGGUAACCUGCCUGGUAGCGGGGGAUAACUAUUGGAAACGAUAGCUAAUACCGCAUAAUAUUAAUUAUUGCAUGAUAAUUAAUUGAAAGGUCCAAUUGCACCACUACCAGAUGGACCUGCGUUGUAUUAGCUAGUAGGUGAGGUAACGGCUCACCUAGGCGACGAUACAUAGCCGACCUGAGAGGGUGAUCGGCCACACUGGGACUGAGACACGGCCCAGACUCCUACGGGAGGCAGCAGUAGGGAAUCUUCGGCAAUGGACGAAAGUCUGACCGAGCAACGCCGCGUGAGUGAAGAAGGUUUUCGGAUCGUAAAGCUCUGUUGUAAGAGAAGAACGGGUGUGAGAGUGGAAAGUUCACACUGUGACGGUAUCUUACCAGAAAGGGACGGCUAACUACGUG